Molecule: ribosomal RNA, 292 nt
Filed under: uncultured prokaryote
Description: partial 16S ribosomal RNA
Rfam family: Archaeal small subunit ribosomal RNA
Source: RNAcentral
GUGUCAGCCGCCGCGGUAAUACCAGCCCCGCGAGUGGUCGGGAUGAUUACUGGGCCUAAAGCGCCCGUAGCCGCCUCGGCAAGUCCCCUCCUAAAGCCCCGGGCACAACCCGGGGAGUGGAGGGGAUACUGCCGGGCUAGGGGGCGGGAGAGGCCGAGGGUACUCCCGGGGUAGGGGCGAAAUCCAUUAAUCCCGGGAGGACCACCAGUGGCGAAGGCGCUCGGCUGGAACGCGCCCGACGGUGAGGGGCGAAAGCCGGGGGAGCGAACCGGAUUAGAUACCCGGGUAGUCC